This 460-nucleotide ribosomal RNA is filed under the name uncultured bacterium. Its description in RNAcentral is "partial 16S ribosomal RNA". It matches the Rfam family "Bacterial small subunit ribosomal RNA", at positions 338 to 795 of the family's 1533-position model. The record is from RNAcentral.
CCUACGGGAGGCUGCAGUGAGGAAUAUUGGUCAAUGGGCUUACGCCUGACCCAGCCAAGUCGCGUGAGGGAUGACUGCCCUCUGGGUUGUAAACCUCUUUUGUCAGGGAGCAACGCCGGCUACGUGUAGACGGACUGAGCGUACCUGAAGAAAAAGCAUCGGCUAACUCCGUGCCAGCAGCCGCGGUAAUACGGAGGAUGAGAGCGUUAUACGGAUUUAUUGGGUUUAUAGGGUGCGUAGGCGGAAUGCCAAGUCAGCGGUAAAAUCGCAGGGCUCAACCUCGCUCCGCCGUUGAAACUGGCGGUCUUGAGUGGGCGAGAAGUAUGCGGAAUGCGUGGUGUAGCGGUGGAAUGCAUAGAUAUCACGCAGAACUCCGAUUGCGAAGGCAGCAUACCGGCGCCCAACUGACGCUGAAGCACGAAAGCGUGGGUAUCGAACAGGAUUAGAUACCCCAGUAGUC